CCCGCUCAGAAACUACAAAUAGAAUUGACGGGGGCCCGCACAAGCGGUGGAGCAUGUGGUUUAAUUCGAUGAUACGCGAGGAACCUUACCUGGGCUCAAAUGUAUGUUGACGUAUUCUGAAAGGGAUACUUCUUCGGACAAUAUACAAGGUGCUGCAUGGUUGUCGUCAGCUCGUGCCGUGAGGUGUCGGGUUAAGUCCCAUAACGAGCGCAACCCCUAUCAUUAGUUGCCAUCAGGUCAAGCUGGGGACUCUAAUGAAACUGCCUACGCAAGUAGUGAGGAAGGUGGGGAUGACGUCAAAUCAGCACGGCCCUUACGUCCAGGGCUACACACGUGCUACAAUGGCCGAUACAGAGGGCAGCUACCUGGUGACAGGAUGCAAAUCUCCAAAGUCGGUCUCAGUUCGGAUCGGAGUCUGCAACCCGACUCCGUGAAGUUGGAUUCGCUAGUAAUCGCGCAUCAGCCAUGGCGCGGUGAAUACGUUCCCGGGCCUU
RNAcentral lists this ribosomal RNA (494 nucleotides) under uncultured Sphingobacteriales bacterium. RNAcentral describes it as "bacterial SSU rRNA". It matches the Rfam family "Bacterial small subunit ribosomal RNA", at positions 903 to 1382 of the family's 1533-position model. The record is from RNAcentral. Lineage: Bacteria; Pseudomonadati; Bacteroidota; Sphingobacteriia; Sphingobacteriales.